ACAUCCAGAGAACUUAGCAGAGAUGCUUUGGUGCCUUCGGGAACUCUGAGACAGGUGCUGCAUGGCUGUCGUCAGCUCGUGUUGUGAAAUGUUGGGUUAAGUCCCGCAACGAGCGCAACCCUUAUCCUUUGUUGCCAGCGGUUCGGCCGGGAACUCAAAGGAGACUGCCGGUGAUAAACCGGAGGAAGGUGGGGAUGACGUCAAGUCAUCAUGGCCCUUACGGCCAGGGCUACGCACGUGCUACAAUGGCGCAUACAAAGAGAAGCGACCUCGCGAGAGCAAGCGGACCUCAUAAAGUGCGUCGUAGUCCGGAUUGGAGUCUGCAACUCGACUCCAUGAAGUCGGAAUCGCUAGUAAUCGUAGAUCAGAAUGCUACGGUGAAUACGUUCCCGGGCCUUGUACACACCGCCCGUCACACCAUGGGAGUGGGUUGCAAAAGAAGUAGGUAGCUUAACCUUCGGGAGGGCGCUUACCACUUUGUGAUUCAUGACUGGGGUGAAGUCGUAACAAGGUAGGCGUAGCGAG
This 525-nucleotide ribosomal RNA is filed under the name uncultured bacterium. Its description in RNAcentral is "bacterial SSU rRNA". It matches the Rfam family "Bacterial small subunit ribosomal RNA", at positions 984 to 1509 of the family's 1533-position model. The record is from RNAcentral.